UGAGGCGCGAAGGCGUGGGGAGCAAACAGGAUUAGAUACCCUGGUAGUUCACGCUGUAAACGAUGAAUGUUAAAUAUGGGAAGUUUUACUUUCCGUAUUACAGCUAAGGCGUUACACAUUCCGCUUGGGGAGUACGGUCGCACGAUUAAAACUCAAAUGAAUUGACGGGGACCCGCACAAGCGGUGGAGCAUGUGGUUUAAUUUGAUGCAACGCGAAAAACCUUACCACUCCUUGUCAUGGAAUUUAUACCUAUUUGAAGGGAUAGGGUCGGUUCGUCGGGGUUUCACACAGGUGUUGCAUGGCUGUCGUCAGCUCGUGUCUGUGAGAUGUUGGGUUAAGUCUCCGCAACGAGCGCAACCCUCAUCUUUAGUUACCAUCAGGUAAUGUUGGGGACUUUAAGGAAACUGCCAGUGAUAAACUGGAGGAAGGUGGGGAUGAUGUCAAGUCAUCAUGGCCCUUAUGGAGUGGGCUACACACGUGCUACAAUGGUGGCUACAAUGGGUUGCAAAGUCGCGAGGGUAAGCUAAUCCCUUAAAAGCCAUCUCAGUUCGGAUUGUACUCUGCAACUCGAGUGCAUGAAGUUGGAAUCGCUAGUAAUCGUGGAUCAGCACGCCACGGUGAAUACGUUCUCGGGUCUUGUACACACUGCCCGUCACGCCAUGGGAAUUGGUUUCACUCGAAGUUAACGACGUAACCGCAAGGGACGGACUUCUUUAAAGUGGGAUCGGUGAUUGGGGUGAAGUCGUAACAAGGUAGCAGUAG
RNAcentral lists this ribosomal RNA (763 nucleotides) under uncultured bacterium. Its description in RNAcentral is "bacterial SSU rRNA". It matches the Rfam family "Bacterial small subunit ribosomal RNA", at positions 747 to 1505 of the family's 1533-position model. The record is from RNAcentral.